RNAcentral lists this long non-coding RNA (523 nucleotides) under Homo sapiens (human). RNAcentral's name for it is "non-protein coding lnc-GYPC-1:2". The record is from RNAcentral. Lineage: Eukaryota; Metazoa; Chordata; Mammalia; Primates; Hominidae.
CUCACUUCGCCAUGUUACUCCUUCACAGGUGCGCAGCCCUGACUUUCACCUGGAGCUUCUGAAGAUGCGGCGCCAGCUGCAAGCCCUUCUCUGGAGGAAGAGGCAGCUUCCGGGUGUCUCCAGGAUAUUUGCCUCAAGCCUCACACCUGCUGGGUGAGAAUGACCAAAGGCAAAACUGAUGCCCUGGAACACACACUGGACAAAUUCAGGGCUCCUUCCUGGCCCCUGCAAGAUUAGCCAGCAGGCCCAAGACUGGAUACAGCUGCUGGGCAAACUUACACCAUUCGAUGACUUUAAAAAUAUUCAAGAGCAAGCAAAGCACUGUAAUCAGUGAUAAGAGCAUAGCAGUCACCCCCACAGGCCAGGUGGAAGCCUCGUCACCACUUACUCACUGUGUGACCUUGGGCAGUUUAAUUAACAUCUCUAAGCCUCAAAGUCCCAUGUCUGAAAUGCAGAUCCUGAUAGCACCUACCUCAGAGGUUUGUGGUGAGGAUUAAAUGAUAAUCCAUGAAAAAUGCCUGGC